Long non-coding RNA from Triticum urartu, 5177 nucleotides. RefSeq lists it as uncharacterized. The record is from RefSeq and is a predicted model, not a curated record. NCBI's taxonomy places the organism in Eukaryota, Viridiplantae, Streptophyta, Magnoliopsida, Poales, Poaceae.
AAGCCAUGUGGCCUGCUGCUUGACUAAUUGAACACCUGCUGCUGUUACUGUUGGACAUGGUUCCUUCUUUUCUUCCUGAUGUUGCUAUUUCCAUUGAACUACUCAUAGGAGUUCUAGAUGAGCUGCUGCUAGUUAGUUCCCCUUAGACUACAUUCUAGAUUGCAUAGCAUAAUUCCAGAAUUUUGUCAUUGCACACCUGGGCAUAUAAUUCUGUUGUGAGCAUAACUCCUGAAUUCAUUCAUCCGUGAAAGCACGUUCAUCACAUGUUUUUUACCAUGCUGCUAACUUCUGUCAUGUCCCUUUCCUUUGGACAAGAAUUUCAACGAACCUAUAACGUGGACAUGUGCUGCUUGUUUUCUUGUGAUGGUGGUUAUCCAAUUGAGUACCCCAACUCUUAUGCUCUGACAUUUGUUAAUCCCCACUUAGUGUGCAUGAAAAAUUAUUGUUUGUCAUGUUAAAUUUUAUGGCAUCAAUUCGGAAUUGUGAUUAAUGACUCAGUAUUUGUUUAGUGUAGACAGUUGACUUCUUUUUUCUUAAGCUUUUAGUGAUAUGCGUGUUUUGUUAUGUCUUAUGGGGAUAUCAUGUUCUUUCUUUGUAUUACUAAUGUCCAGUCAAUGGAAAAUGCUUUUCUUGCUUUGCCUAGACUUUGUGACAAUGAACUUAUAGUGCGAUCAUUGAUCAUUGAGCUUCUGACACCCUAUUCCGUAAAAUUCUGUUGUAAUGUUUGCUGGAUCAUUGAGUAGUUAAUAUUGAUUCUGAGUUUGUUGGAUCAUUAACUUCUGUGUGUGCUUUGGUUAUCUAAGAGACACUCACUAUCCUUUGUUUCAUAUUCGUGGCGGAAUGAUGAACGAUUAUGUUCCGUGUCCCUGUGUUUCGUGUUCGCCGGUCUGGUUUUGGAUUUGGAUUACGGAGACAGGGAGAGGCCAAAGCAAGGUCAGUUUAUCGUGUUCGCUCAGAUCGGUUCCUCGGUUCCGUCGUUGCAUUGUUCGUCGGCGAUUUCCAGACCUGAAACGCAUGCACCCUUGUGAUACUCUGGUUUGGCUCGCUGGUCGUCAUGGUUGUUCGUUACGGUUGUUCUUAUGUUCUUGAAUCACCCAUCUUAUAAGCAGAGAUGGGGUGAUACAUUAUGGUUGUUCUGAUGGUUGCUUAUUUAGUGUUCUUUCCAAUUGGGUUCUUCUUGCCAUGCUUUGCUUAUGUUCCCAAUGUCUGUCUUUCCAUAUAUGGGGAUGCGUUAGGGUGCAAACCGUGUAGGCCAUGGUGUGUUUUUACUAGUUAUGGUGUGUUUUAUACUAUCUGAUGUUGAAGGUGGAAAUAUUGAUAUCACUUCUGUGUUAGUAUACUUGAUAUGGUGUGUUUUAUUCAAGUAAUUAACCACAUCUCUUACAAAUUUUCCUUGAGAUACAUGUUUAUAUGGCAGGAGUGAUUGUCUUGACGAAUAAUCAUUUAUGCUAACAGACCAGUACUUGAUCAUAGGUAACAGACCAGUACUUGAUCAUAGGUAACAGACCAGUACUUGAUCAUAGGUAGUAGACCAAUACUUCACAUAGGUAACAGACCAGUACUUGUUUAGUGCAGACAACUGACUAUUCUUUUUUCUGAACUUCUUGUCAUAUGUCUGUUAUGUGAAUAUCAUAUUCUAAUGCUUUUCUAAGUAUUUAAGGUACAGACUUGUGGAUCUGGACAUUUCACAUCUGCUCUUUAUUGUGUUGCUAAGGACACUGAACGGUUUGUCUGGGCCACCGCACAGCCUGGCUAAUCAGGUUGUAGUGAUUAGGGAGAAGCUUGCAGAACUGUAUGAAUUUGAACAACAAUGGUCAAGAGCAUGGAAAAUGCUUAGUGGCUUUGACUUGGACUCAGGAAUAAGAAUGCUUGAUGACAAACAAAUUAUCCAAGUGCGUCCAGAUUGCACGACUCUAUUUGGAGGAUGAUGAUGCAGUGAAUGUUGAAGCUUUUAUCAACAAAGCCUCAUUUUUUGUCACAAACAGCAACCAGGAAGUUCUGAACUUUUAAUACAAGGUAUGCUAUGCGAGAAUUUUAGAUCUAAAGCGUAAAUUCUUGGAAGCUGCACUUCUAUACUAUGGUAUCUCUCAAAUUGAGCAACACCAAAUUGGGGAUGAGUAAGGCUUACUCCAUUCAGUUGUAGAUUUGUUUCUCUCUUCUGCAAUUUACUCAUUUUUAAUGUUCUGUCUUGUAUGGUUCUUUGUUGCCUUGCCGGUCUAGUGGUGCCUAAUUUCUAUUUUACACCCUUCAAAUUACCCUAGUUGAUACUCAUGUUUAAGUACUGCAGUGGUUAUUAGCAAGUCAUGUUUGGAACUGAUAUGGCCUCCAUAUUUUAUUCUCAAAGAUCUUGAUGGAACAUAGUUUCUGUAUUUUCUCAGAUAGAUUGACGAAAAUGAUCUUUAGCAAGCUCUUAGUGCUGCUGUAACAUGCACAAUAUUGUAACUGAUGAGAGGCAACCACCGUUGCCAACUUGAAAUCAGUUUACUCAUUCAAGUUCUGGAAUUUCUUUAUAGCUUUCUGGGUUUACUUCGAUCUUGCAUGUAUUAGGUUUCUCUUUGUGCCCCUAUCUAUGUCAGUUUCUUGUGUGCAAGUGCUUCAUUAUGUGUGUGUGACUUGUUGGUGAAUAUGUGUGUGGCUUGAUGGUGUGUGUGGCUUGACUCUCUCUGUGUGUGGUUUGAUUGUGUGUGUGGCUUGACUCUCUCUGUGUGUGGCUUGACUGUGUGUGUGACUUGACUCUCUGUGUGUGUGGCUUGGCUCUCUCUGUGUGUGGCUUGACUGUGUGUGGUUUGAUUGUGAAUAUGUGUGUGGCUUGACUCUGUGUGUGAGUGUGUGUGGCUUGAUGGUGAAUAUGUGUCUGGCUUGAUUCUCUGUGUGUGUGUGUGACUGUGUGUGAAAAUUGCAUUUGUUUGAUGGUGUGGCUUGUAUGCUUUGCUGAAUGUUUGGUUGUAUAACUUGUGUUUUAUAUUUCAUGAUUGAUUGCUUUGUUGUUUGUUGAAUGUGAACAGACCUAGCACUAUUCUUUUUUUCUGAACUUUUUUGUGAUUAUGUCUUAUGUGGAUAUCAUAUUCUUUUUUAUGUAUUACUGUUGUCCAGUCAGUGGAAUAAUGCUUUUCUAAGUAUUUAAGGUACAGACAUUGGAUCUGGACAUUUCACAUUGGCUCUUUAUUGUGUUGCUAAGGACACUGAUGGGUUGAGUUUGCAUAAAAUGCAGUAUGGAGCAACAAAUUGGUCUCAUUGCAAGGUCACUACCUGGACGUAUAGGCAAGCAAUGUCAAGAGAGGUGGCAUAAUCAUCUGAAUCCAGACAUACAGAGAGAUGCUUGGACUAUGAGGAGGAACAUGCACUGUAUAAUGCCCAGGGAAUAAAUGGGCAGAAAUAGCAAAAUUUCUUCCUAGAAGACAUCUGAACAUUGCAGGAAUGGGGUACUUCCAUUUGUGUAACUUCUAUUUGUUAUCAGUUCUUCUCACCUAUAGCUAAAGUCAAAGACGACAAACCAGGUGAAUUAUUGGAGUUGCAAGAUACACAGAAUCAGCAUUUCAACAAGUGACUACAUACGGAGCAAAAUGAGUGAAUCUACACUCUAAAAUAUGUCUACAUACAUCCGUAUGUAGUAGUCAUUUGAAAUGUCUAGAAAGACAAGUAUUUAGGAACGGAGGGAGUACAUCACAGGUCAUCUUAAUCUUGUUUUGUAAAUAUGACUGCUGGUGCUGCUGGUAACGCUAUCCAUCGGCUUGUAGCUCAUGAGAGGCAACCACAGUUGCGAACUUGAAACAUAUAUCUUUUAGGAACGAAGAUCUGAAUCACACCUCACCCCUCAAGAGAAAUCGUUUAGUCAUUCAGGUUCUGGAAUUUCUUUAUAGCUUUCUGAGUUUACUUCGGUCUUGCAUCUAUUUGCUUUCUGUUUGUGCCCCUAUCUAUGUAUGUUUCUUAUUGUUUAUUGUGUGCAAGUGCUCCAUUCUGUGUCUGUCUGACUGUUUGUGGCUUGACUCUCUUGUGUGUGUGGCUUGACUGUCUGUGUGUGGGACUGUGUGUUUGACUAUGUGUGAAUAUUGCAUUUGACUGUGAUGUGUGACUAUGUGUGUGACUCUGUGUUUGACUGUGUGUGUGACUGAAUAUUGUGCAUUUGACUGAAUAAUGCAUUUUGGCAAUGAAUGUGUGUGUGGGACUGUGUGUGAAUAUUGCAUUUGACUGUGAUGUGUGACUAUGUGUGUGACUCUGUGUUUGACUCUGUGUGUGACUGAAUAUUGUGCAUUUGACUGUGAUGUGUGUGACUGUGAAUAAUCCUGUUUGGCAAUGACUGUGUGUGUGAUUGUGUGUGGCUUGACUCUGUGUGUGUGUGUGUGGCUUGUAUGCUUUGUUGAAUGAUUGGUUGGUGUGGCCUAACACUGCCUUUGCCGGUCCCAAGCCCGGAUGCGAAAAUGUGGAGGGAGCUGCAGUUACCUCCUUUGUAUUGUUUGCCUUAGAAGUGUGAAUAUUACAUUUUCACAAUGACUGUGUGUGUGAUUGUGUUGAAUAUGACUGUGAUGUGUGUGACUAUGAAUAAUGCAUUUUGGCAAUGACUGUGUGUGUGAUUGUGUGUGGCUUGACUCUAUGUGUGUGUGUGUAUGUGUGGCUUGUAUGCUUUGUUGAAUGAUUGGUUGGUGUGGCCUAACACUGCCUUUGCCGGUCCCAAGCCCGGAUGCGAAAAUGUGGAGGGAGCUGCAGUUACCUCCUUUGUAUUGUUUGCCUUAGAAGUGUGAAUAUUACAUUUUCACAAUGACUGUGUGUGUGAUUGUGUUGAAUAUGACUGUGAUGUGUGUGACUAUGAAUAAUGCAUUUUGGCAAUGACUGUGUGUGUGAUUGUGUGUGGCUUGACUCUAUGUGUGUGUGUGUAUGUGUGGCUUGUAUGCUUUGUUGAAUGAUUGGUUGGUGUGGCCUAACACUGCCUUUGCCGGUCCCAAGCCCGGAUGCGAAAAUGUGGAGGGAGCUGCAGUUACCUCCUUUGUAUUGUUUGCCUUAGAAGUGUGAAUAUUACAUUUUCACAAUGACUGUGUGUGUGAUUGUGUUGAAUAUGACUGUGAUGUGUGUGACUAUGAAUAAUGCAUUUUGGCAAUGACUGUGUGUGUGAUUGUGUGUGGCUUGACUCUAUGUGUGUGUGUGUAUGUGUGGCUUGUAUGCUUUGUUGAAUGAUUGGUUGG